This 75-nucleotide small RNA is filed under the name Xanthomonas campestris. RNAcentral describes it as "sRNA sX9". It matches the Rfam family "Xanthomonas sRNA sX9". The record is from RNAcentral. Lineage: Bacteria; Pseudomonadati; Pseudomonadota; Gammaproteobacteria; Lysobacterales; Lysobacteraceae.
AUGUACCCACGUACAUUCCGGUUCCUCCGCGCCGUCCGCACCCACCUGACGACUGCUCGCUACGUUUUGGUAGCC